This 26-nucleotide non-coding RNA is filed under the name Cricetulus griseus (Chinese hamster). The record is from RNAcentral. Lineage: Eukaryota; Metazoa; Chordata; Mammalia; Rodentia; Cricetidae.
CUGCUGUGCAGCAUGAGCAGGCUGGC